This 335-nucleotide ribosomal RNA is filed under the name uncultured bacterium. RNAcentral describes it as "bacterial SSU rRNA". It matches the Rfam family "Bacterial small subunit ribosomal RNA", at positions 29 to 361 of the family's 1533-position model. The record is from RNAcentral.
AUUGAACGCUGGCGGCGUGCCUAACACAUGCAAGUCGAGCGGUAACAGGUGUAGCAAUACAUGCUGACGAGCGGCGGACGGGUGAGUAACGCUUGGGAAUCUGCCUGUUAGUGGGGACGAACCCGGGGAAACGUCGGGCGUAAUACCGCAUACGCACUACGGUGGAAAGACCGGGGACCGCAAGGCCUGGCGCUAACAGAUGAGCCCAAGUCGGAUUAGCUAGUUGGUAGGGUAACGGCCACCAAGGCGACGAUCCGUAACUGGUCUGAGAGGACGACCAGUCACACCGGAACUGAGACACGGUCCGGACUCCUACGGGAGGCAGCAGUGGGGAA